UCCUACCUAUAUGUAACUUAUUCAGGAAUCAAGCAUAAAAGAAAGUGAAUAAAACUUGAAAGUAUUUUAUUAAUUAUAGAGAAUAGAAAAUAAAUAUACAAAAUUAUGUAAGAACAUCUAUACUCCCCUAUAGACUGUAUCUUAACCAAGCAUGGCUUCUGUAUAAAUCUUCUAAAAGAUUUGAAACCCUGCCACAGUAUCUCCUCUUUUUGAAGCAAUCUUCUUCUUCUCC
RNAcentral lists this long non-coding RNA (232 nucleotides) under Elaeis guineensis (African oil palm). RNAcentral's name for it is "long non-coding RNA (EGUI_LNC035307)". Lineage: Eukaryota; Viridiplantae; Streptophyta; Magnoliopsida; Arecales; Arecaceae. The record is from RNAcentral.